Long non-coding RNA from Oreochromis aureus, 1371 nucleotides. RefSeq lists it as uncharacterized. The record is from RefSeq and is a predicted model, not a curated record. NCBI's taxonomy places the organism in Eukaryota, Metazoa, Chordata, Actinopteri, Cichliformes, Cichlidae. The transcript is spliced from 2 exons.
GAUCUGCGUCCUCAUCUGGACUCUCCUCUGCUGCUGCUUCACAGAGUCCAGAGGACAGAUCACAGUGACUCAGACUGGAGCAGUGAGCUCUGCUGUGGGAGGAUCUGUGAGCAUCAAGUGUAGGACCAGUCAGGAUGUUAAUGCUUUUUUCGGAACCCACUAUUUAGCCUGGUACCAACAGAAAGAUGGAGGAGUUCCUAAACUGCUCAUUUAUGCUGCUAGCAGUCGAGCAUCAGCGAUUCCAGCUCGUUUUACAGGCAGUGGAUCAAACUCUGACUUCACUCUGACCAUCAGUGGAGUCCAGGCUGAAGAUGCAGCAGUUUAUUACUGUCAGAGUUUUCACUGGCCUGGCAGUCAGCGUGUGUUCACACAGUGAAAAACAGUCGUACAAAAACCUCCCUCAGUCACACUGAACAGAAACUGAAGUGAAUGCUGCAGCUGGAAGAUACUGCAGAGACUGAUACAGUUCACUGAGGACACACACACACACACACACACACACACUUUAUUCUUAAACGACCUUUAAACUCAGACUUUUCACACUAAAACUUAAUAAUUUAGCUUCAUCUGAUUUAGCAGCAAAAGUUGAAAAAUACAAUAAAAUAUGCACCUUUGAUUCAUCACACAUCAGACAUUUGGAAGACGACCAUCAUAGAUUAUACAAAGUAAGUAAUACACAGAUAAAUACACAGAUCAACACAAUGAAUGUUCACAUUUAACAAUGACACAAAAAAAAUGAUCCAUUCUUCAAAUAUUUGAAAAUCUCAUCUUUAAUUUAUUUUGAAUGUUUUAUAUCAUAGACUUAAUAAUACCUUACUAAUGUUUAACAGUGUGACAUCAUCAUAAAAUACUACCAAGAUCUGUAACCACUGAAAAUAAGAUGUGAUCAUCCUCCUGACAGACUGUGGACUUUCUCUUGUUUUAAGAAGUUUAGUGAAGUGAGUUUCUCUCAUUUUGCUGUAAAAACUAGAAGAGAUUAACUUAUAUGUAAGUUGAUUAAAGCAGACCUGUAGUCUCUCACCUGCCUGCAUUCCUGUGUGUUUGUUCUGUUAGUCUCUUCUUAACAUCAUGUCCACUGUUGAGCUCAAUUCCGUCGUCAUUAUUUGAGUCCAGUUAUUGUCUCACUGCCUUCUGUGAGUUACUCAGCCUCUGUUUUGUGUGCUUUAAAUCUCAGACUCCUUAUCUCCACCUCAUCCUGCACAAUUAGAGAUCCUCAACUAAGUCUCCACCUGCUUCAUCUCUGCCACCACCAGCUUCUAGACUCUUCUCUGCUUUGUUGCUUCAUCAGAGUUUCACUGUCAAAUAGUUCAUUAAUCAAACGUCAAUAAAUCUUCAUUUAAACUUCAUUUAAAUAAACUCUGUUUAAACAUA